RNAcentral lists this ribosomal RNA (378 nucleotides) under uncultured bacterium. RNAcentral describes it as "bacterial SSU rRNA". It matches the Rfam family "Bacterial small subunit ribosomal RNA", at positions 523 to 898 of the family's 1533-position model. The record is from RNAcentral.
AUACGUAGGGUGCGAGCGUUGUCCGGAAUUAUUGGGCGUAAAGAGCUUGUAGGCGGUUUGUCGCGUCUGCAGUGAAAAUCCGGGGCUCAACCCCGGACUUGCUGUGGGUACGGGCAGACUAGAGUGUGGUAGGGGAGACUGGAAUUCCUGGUGUAGCGGUGGAAUGCGCAGAUAUCAGGAGGAACACCGAUGGCGAAGGCAGGUCUCUGGGCCAUAACUGACGCUGAGAAGCGAAAGCAUGGGGAGCGAACAGGAUUAGAUACCCUGGUAGUCCAUGCCGUAAACGUUGGGCGCUAGGUGUGGGGCUCAUUCCACGAGCUCCGUGCCGCAGCUAACGCAUUAAGCGCCCCGCCUGGGGAGUACGGCCGCAAGGCUAAA